Molecule: ribosomal RNA, 225 nt
Filed under: uncultured bacterium
Lineage: Bacteria
Description: partial 16S ribosomal RNA
Rfam family: Bacterial small subunit ribosomal RNA
Source: RNAcentral
AAUCUACCCAGUAAUCCGGGAUAACAUCUCGAAAGAGAUGCUAAUGCCUGAUAAGCCCACGAUCUCUUCGGAGAACGAGGGAAAAGGUGGGGACCUUCGGGCCUGCCGUUGCUGGAUGAGUCCGCGGCCCAUUAGCUAGUUGGUAGGGUAAUGGCCUACCAAGGCUACGAUGGGUAGCUGGUCUGAGAGGAUGAUCAGCCACACUGGAACUGAGACACGGUCCAG